This 511-nucleotide ribosomal RNA is filed under the name uncultured beta proteobacterium. Its description in RNAcentral is "partial 16S ribosomal RNA". It matches the Rfam family "Bacterial small subunit ribosomal RNA", at positions 353 to 858 of the family's 1533-position model. The record is from RNAcentral. Lineage: Bacteria; Pseudomonadati; Pseudomonadota; Betaproteobacteria.
AGUGGGGAAUUUUUGACAAUGGGGGAAACCUGGAUCCACCCAUGCGGCGUGAGUGAAAAAGGCCUUCGGGUUGUAAAGCUUUUCAGCCGGGAAGAAAUAAAAACUGUUAAUACCCGGGAAGAUGACGGUACCCCCAGAAGAAGCACCGGCUAAAUAUGUGCCAGCAGCCGCGGUAAUACGUAGGGUGCGAGCGUUUUUUGGAAUUAUUGGGCGUAAAGAGUGCGCAGGCGGUUUUUUAAGUCAGAUGUGAAAUCCCCGGGCUCAACCCGGGAAAUGCAUUUGAGACUGUUUGGCUAGAGUGUGGGAGAGGGGGGUGGAAUUCCCCGUGUAGCGGUGAAAUGCGUAGAUAUAUGGAGGAACACCCGUGGCGAAGGCGGCCCCCUGGGCCGAUACUGACGCUCAGGCGCGAAAGCGUGGGGAGCAAACACGAUUAGAUACCCCGGUAGUCCACGCCCUAAAAGAUGUGCAACUAGAUGUUGGGGUAUUACCCCUUCAGUACCGAAGCUAACGC